GGCCAAAUAGUAUAGUGGUAGUAUAGCUGCUUUGGGUGCAGCUGACCCGGAUUCGAUUUCCGGUUUGGCCC
Molecule: transfer RNA, 71 nt
Filed under: bacterium
Lineage: Bacteria
Description: tRNA-Pro
Rfam family: tRNA
About the family: Transfer RNA (tRNA) molecules are approximately 80 nucleotides in length.
Source: RNAcentral